Oryzias latipes (Japanese medaka) is the source of this 544-nucleotide non-coding RNA. Lineage: Eukaryota; Metazoa; Chordata; Actinopteri; Beloniformes; Adrianichthyidae. The record is from RefSeq and is a predicted model, not a curated record.
GAAUGGUAUUUACUGAGCGAUGGAGCGCCAGUUCAGUACUCUGCUCUUGUAGGAAAGGGUUGUGUGGUCCCGUCGUCUCUCUGAGCAAACUCCUGAUUCUCUGGAAACAUGGCUGACAAACCCGACAUCACUGAGGUGAGCCGGUUUGACAAAACCAAGCUGAAGAAAACUGAGACGCAAGAGAAAAACACACUGCCCUCCAAAGAAACCAUUGAACAGGAGAAGGCAGUGUCUACUUCAUGAAGAUCAAACCUCCCAGUCACUCUUCAGCCACAGGAUAGAUCCAUUCCCACUUUCAGCAUUGAAACACUCAACUAUAAUGGCUCUACAUCCAUCAUCUCCAGCUUCACUCCAUGGUCCUCUGGCUUCAUGUGGACAUUGGAGCUUGGGUCACCUGUCGCUCGGGCCUCGUUUUCAGUGUGGCAUUAAGAACCUGGCACAAUGUGAUCCUCUUCUAAAACCUCUGGCUGCCUUUGAAUGCUCACUAAGGUGUCUAUGUAAAUUUGGAAUUCACACUUGGAUAUUAAAAAUGAAAUGGAAUUAA